This 24-nucleotide non-coding RNA is filed under the name Arabidopsis thaliana (thale cress). The record is from RNAcentral. Lineage: Eukaryota; Viridiplantae; Streptophyta; Magnoliopsida; Brassicales; Brassicaceae.
AUAUAAUGUAGAGAGUGGUGGUUC